RNAcentral lists this ribosomal RNA (254 nucleotides) under uncultured bacterium. RNAcentral describes it as "partial 16S ribosomal RNA". It matches the Rfam family "Bacterial small subunit ribosomal RNA", at positions 524 to 776 of the family's 1533-position model. The record is from RNAcentral.
UACGUAGGGGGCUAGCGUUGUUCGGAUUCAUUGGGCGUAAAGGGUGCGUAGGCGGCGCGGUAAGUCGGGUGUGAAAUCUCGGAGCUUAACUCCGAAACUGCAUUCGAUACUGCCGUGCUUGAGGACUGGAGAGGAGACUGGAAUUUACGGUGUAGCGGUGAAAUGCGUAGAUAUCGUAAGGAAGACCCGUGGCGAAGGCGGAUCUCUGGACGGCUAACUGACGCUGAGGCGCGAAGGCCAGGGGAGCAAACGGG